Molecule: ribosomal RNA, 1498 nt
Filed under: uncultured bacterium
Lineage: Bacteria
Description: bacterial SSU rRNA
Rfam family: Bacterial small subunit ribosomal RNA
Source: RNAcentral
AGAGUUUGAUCCUGGCUCAGAUUGAACGCUGGCGGCAGGCCUAACACAUGCAAGUCGAGCGGUAGAGAGAAGCUUGCUUCUCUUGAGAGCGGCGGACGGGUGAGUAAUGCCUAGGAAUCUGCCUGGUAGUGGGGGAUAACGUUCGGAAACGGACGCUAAUACCGCAUACGUCCUACGGGAGAAAGCAGGGGACCUUCGGGCCUUGCGCUAUCAGAUGAGCCUAGGUCGGAUUAGCUAGUUGGUGAGGUAAUGGCUCACCAAGGCGACGAUCCGUAACUGGUCUGAGAGGAUGAUCAGUCACACUGGAACUGAGACACGGUCCAGACUCCUACGGGAGGCAGCAGUGGGGAAUAUUGGACAAUGGGCGAAAGCCUGAUCCAGCCAUGCCGCGUGUGUGAAGAAGGUCUUCGGAUUGUAAAGCACUUUAAGUUGGGAGGAAGGGUUGUAGAUUAAUACUCUGCAAUUUUGACGUUACCGACAGAAUAAGCACCGGCUAACUCUGUGCCAGCAGCCGCGGUAAUACAGAGGGUGCAAGCGUUAAUCGGAAUUACUGGGCGUAAAGCGCGCGUAGGUGGUUUGUUAAGUUGGAUGUGAAAUCCCCGGGCUCAACCUGGGAACUGCAUUCAAAACUGACUGACUAGAGUAUGGUAGAGGGUGGUGGAAUUUCCUGUGUAGCGGUGAAAUGCGUAGAUAUAGGAAGGAACACCAGUGGCGAAGGCGACCACCUGGACUAAUACUGACACUGAGGUGCGAAAGCGUGGGGAGCAAACAGGAUUAGAUACCCUGGUAGUCCACGCCGUAAACGAUGUCAACUAGCCGUUGGAAGCCUUGAGCUUUUAGUGGCGCAGCUAACGCAUUAAGUUGACCGCCUGGGGAGUACGGCCGCAAGGUUAAAACUCAAAUGAAUUGACGGGGGCCCGCACAAGCGGUGGAGCAUGUGGUUUAAUUCGAAGCAACGCGAAGAACCUUACCAGGCCUUGACAUCCAAUGAACUUUCUAGAGAUAGAUUGGUGCCUUCGGGAACAUUGAGACAGGUGCUGCAUGGCUGUCGUCAGCUCGUGUCGUGAGACGUUGGGUUAAGUCCCGUAACGAGCGCAACCCUUGUCCUUAGUUACCAGCGCGUAAUGGUGGGCACUCUAAGGAGACUGCCGGUGACAAACCGGAGGAAGGUGGGGAUGACGUCAAGUCAUCAUGGCCCUUACGGCCUGGGCUACACACGUGCUACAAUGGUCGGUACAGAGGGUUGCCAAGCCGCGAGGUGGAGCUAAUCCCAUAAAACCGAUCGUAGUCCGGAUCGCAGUCUGCAACUCGACUGCGUGAAGUCGGAAUCGCUAGUAAUCGCGAAUCAGAAUGUCGCGGUGAAUACGUUCCCGGGCCUUGUACACACCGCCCGUCACACCAUGGGAGUGGGUUGCACCAGAAGUAGCUAGUCUAACCUUCGGGAGGACGGUUACCACGGUGUGAUUCAUGACUGGGGUGAAGUCGUAACAAGGUAACC